Molecule: ribosomal RNA, 394 nt
Filed under: uncultured bacterium
Lineage: Bacteria
Description: bacterial SSU rRNA
Rfam family: Bacterial small subunit ribosomal RNA
Source: RNAcentral
AGCGAACGCUGGCGGCAGGCUUAACACAUGCAAGUCGAGCGGGCGUAGCAAUACGUCAGCGGCAGACGGGUGAGUAACGCGUGGGAACAUACCUUUUGGUUCGGAACAACACAGGGAAACUUGUGCUAAUACCGGAUAAGCCCUUACGGGGAAAGAUUUAUCGCCGAAAGAUUGGCCCGCGUCUGAUUAGCUAGUUGGUGAGGUAACGGCUCACCAAGGCGACGAUCAGUAGCNGGUCUGAGAGGAUGAUCAGCCACAUUGGGACUGAGACACGGCCCAAACUCCUACGGGAGGCAGCAGUGGGGAACAUUGGACAAUGGGCGCAAGCCUGAUCCAGCCAUGCCGCGUGAGUGAUGAAGGCCCUAGGGUUGUAAAGCUCUUUUGUGCGGGAAGA